GACGAACGCUGGCGGCGUGCCUAACACAUGCAAGUCGAACGGAGAUAUGCGCUGAAUAGAAGACAGCUUGCUGGAAGAAAUUCUUGUAUAUCUUAGUGGCGGACGGGUGAGUAACACGUGAGUAACCUGCCGAGAAGUGGGGAAUAACGUUCCGAAAGGGACACUAAUACCGCAUAAAGCUGAAUUACCGCAUGGUAGAUUAGCCAAAGGAUUAAUUCGCUUUUCGAUGGACUCGCGUCCGAUUAGAUAGUUGGUGAGGUAACGGCUCACCAAGUCGACGAUCGGUAGCCGGACUGAGAGGUUGAACGGCCACAUUGGGACUGAGACACGGCCCAGACUCCUACGGGAGGCAGCAGUGAGGAAUAUUGGGCAAUGGGGGAAACCCUGACCCAGCAACGCCGCGUGAGGGAAGACGGUUUUCGGAUUGUAAACCUCUGUCCUCUGUGAAGAUAAUGACGGUAGCAGAGGAGGAAGCUCCGGCUAACUACGUGCCAGCCGCCGCCGUAACAC
Molecule: ribosomal RNA, 510 nt
Filed under: uncultured bacterium
Lineage: Bacteria
Description: bacterial SSU rRNA
Rfam family: Bacterial small subunit ribosomal RNA
Source: RNAcentral